RNAcentral lists this small nucleolar RNA (75 nucleotides) under Chlamydomonas reinhardtii. RNAcentral describes it as "CrCD37 snoRNA". Lineage: Eukaryota; Viridiplantae; Chlorophyta; Chlorophyceae; Chlamydomonadales; Chlamydomonadaceae. The record is from RNAcentral.
UGUCGAUGAUGACUAUUUCAUCAGAAGAUGCCGUGAAGAAAAAACACAUUAGUGGAAUCUCGUUAGCCUGAGACA